Molecule: ribosomal RNA, 508 nt
Filed under: uncultured bacterium
Lineage: Bacteria
Description: partial 16S ribosomal RNA
Rfam family: Bacterial small subunit ribosomal RNA
Source: RNAcentral
GAUGAACGCUAGCUACAGGCUUAACACAUGCAAGUCGAGGGGAAACGAUAGAGAAAGCUUGCUUUUUCUAGGCGUCGACCGGCGCACGGGUGAGUAACGCGUAUCCAACCUGCCCACCACUUGGGGAUAACCUUGCGAAAGUAAGACUAAUACCCAAUGACGUUCAUAGAAGACAUCUGAAAUGGAUUAAAGAUUUAUCGGUGAUGGAUGGGGAUGCGUCUGAUUAGCUUGUUGGCGGGGUAACGGCCCACCAAGGCGACGAUCAGUAGGGGUUCUGAGAGGAAGGUCCCCCACAUUGGAACUGAGACACGGUCCAAACUCCUACGGGAGGCAGCAGUGAGGAAUAUUGGUCAAUGGGCGAGAGCCUGAACCAGCCAAGUAGCGUGCAGGAUGACGGCCCUAUGGGUUGUAAACUGCUUUUAUAAGGGAAUAAAGUGAGUCUCGUGAGACUUUUUGCAUGUACCUUAUGAAUAAGGACCGGCUAAUUCCGUGCCAGCAGCCGCAGUAA